CGCUGGCUCCCGCCCGUGCUGGGGCCACGGGGGCUGCGGGCCCCGGACGCCGAGUCCCGCGCUCUCCUCGCAGGUCCGCCCGCUGAAGACCCUUGGCCCCGGUCAGCUCUCCAGCGGCCCCGAGGAAAACGCCGACCGGCUGGGGCUGGCCGGCCUCCGCUCCGCGGCCAAACUGCUUCCAGGUCUGGCCUCUUAAAGCCGGGCUCCCUCUUCCGCUCCGGAAGCCCCGCGCCCCGCGCCCCACGCCUCUCCGCGCUGCUCCUUCCGGACUCUGACCCUCCCGGGAAGCUGAGCCGCUGGCACUCGCUGCUGGCCACUUCGGGACCUGCCUCAGGCUUCCUCCGUGUGCUGCUUGUGCUGCUCCCGAAGGAGCCUGAACUUAGGCCUAAACGCUCACCUCACCUAAGAACUUAAGGUGCAGAAUCUGCUCGCAUCGCGUCCUCAGCUUUGAAUGAGUGUGUAGCCUCCGGAGGCCUAAAAAUGUUGCCUAGCUUUAAUGCUUAAUAUAUAUUUAGAUCUAUGUUUAUUACAUCUUGAAUAGUGCUUAAAUUUACUUCAGUAAUUUAACUAUUCAUUGGACAUAUUUGUUUCAAACAAGAUGAUGAGUAUCACAUCUCUGUGAUCCAAUCACAUCCCCAAAGCCCAUGCAUGCAUGAGGCUUUGCGGGGGACAUCCACAUAGAAACACCGCAGCGUUCCACCCGGCCCCCAAAGACUCACGUGCUCUCCGUCCAAGAUGUACAUAGUCCGUCUCUAAGAGGUGUCAGAGCCCUAACGGUUUCAGCAUCGCUGAGAAGUCCGAGUCCAAGUCUUCUCUGAGAUUUAAAGCCAUCGCUUACCUUGGCGCCCUUGUGAGAAUGCAAAGUUAAACAUCACCAGCAUACAAAGGUACCAGGAAACUGUCUCAGAAUGACAAAACACAGAGCACUGUAUGGCUCCUCUUGUGGACCAUGGAUGCUCAAGUGACUUGGAACCAACCUGUGCUGACACUUCGGUGACGGACAAUGGACACUGAUGGGCUGUGCAGAAUUCUGCCAACAGCGGUGACCUUGGAGAGCAUCAGACCUAAUUAGAAGUCAUAUGUCUCAGGCCAUUAUAAUAGAAGCCAUUUAUACAAAACGUUAUCUCUAACAUGAAUCUGCACAGCCUCAAGCAGAAUCCAAGCAGCUGUUUCAAUAACACAGGCACUGGCGUCUUGUCUUCCCUAAUAUGAAGAUCCUGAGCUCAGAGGUGGCUUUUGUCAUCCGUGUCCCUGGCCCGGCCGUUCUGCUCUCGUCUGCAUGUGUGACCCGCGAGUAUUGUCCCCGCACCUGACAGGCUUCCCCCCUCCUCCCUCCGGCUGUCCAGGCCCCCGAAAUGCCAUGCCUAACUCUGGGCACGCUCUCCCGAGGUCGUGAGAGGUCGGUGUUGGUGGACUCCUGCUUACCGCGCCCUUUUGGAUAACCCGACAUUCAUAGCCUUAAACGAAUUUCAACGGGACUUCUAAGAAAAGUUACCAGUCACGUUGGAAGAGCUUUUCUCUGCAUGUAAUUGGUAUGUUUGCUGUAAACCACUCCCACCUCAUCACGAAUGCAGGGCCCCUAAAGUAGUGCCUGGAGCAAGGGGCCAUAUAUGAUAUGAGAGCGCUAUUCUGAAACAAUACUUUGGACCUGUGUUACAUCUGAAAACAACUCGUUUGUUAUAAAUGAAUUUGAUUAAAGCUCUCGUAGCAUUAUGAUACUCCUAUUAAAAUACAAGUAGAGGAGAGAGAUAACACUCCAAGCUCAGUAUCAAUGACUUACAUCUUUUCAGGGAUUGUUUCGGGAUUAUCUGAUGAAACAAGUCGCCUUCUACUGGCACUGGCGCCUAAGUAAACUCCGCUGCUCCACAAGCACCUUACUAGUCUGUGCUGGGCUCCCCGGACAGAGGAAGGCCUGCCUGCUACACAGGCUCCACCCCCUUCCGCCUCCCUUCCAGUCAAAGCCAGCCGGGUCUUUGUACACUGUUGAAUACAAAUAUCCCUGAGAGAGUCCACACAUUAAAGCCAAAAUGUCAUUUUCACCUUUGAAUAAAUGACCGGAUUCUUUAAGGUGCUAACCUAAUCUUCCACUCUUUGUUUCUCUGAAAAUAUCUUCAAUCAUUUCAUCAAGUCCGAAGACUUCAACCUCAGUGUGAACAGAAUCUUUCUUCCCUUUCUCUCUCUGUCUCUUCCUGCAGUGGUAUCAAACCCAGGACCUUCAGCAUGCAACACAAACACUGCCACUGCUACAUUCCCAGCCCUGAAAUACUUCUAAUUUCUAUGAUUUGCUCUCAUACACUAUCUCAGCUAGACUAGAACACCUGGCUGUCUAGUGGACAUCUCCUCUGUCCUGCGAAUACCUCAAACUCAGCCUACCCAGAGUCAACACACUGUACUCCUUCCAAGCCUGUUUCUCCCCGCUUGUUCAGGGUUCACCUAGCCACACUGUCUCUCAACCUGAGCAUCUUCCCCUCCUUCUUCCCCUCAGUCUGUGACUAAGCCCAAAGAUCCCAGCCCUGCACACCUACCCUGUGAUGCAGAACGUUCCUCUCCAGCUGCCCUGCUAGUAUUCCCAGCACUGCUCCCACGGGGCGCUACAUGGCCCAAAGCUUGGCUUUGACUUGUCCCUCUCCAGCUCAAAAACCCUAAAUGCACAUUUUGCUUAUUGAAUUCAAACCAACCUCUUGUUUUUCAUGUAUAUUACAUGACAUCAUCUUUCUUCUGCUUCCUCAUACCCUCUAGUAAAACUGAGAACUCUUCCCCAAAAUGCACUUUGCUUUCCACCCUGGUUGUUUCUGCCACUUGAAAUACUCUUUGCUCCUUCCCCGUUUCUGCCUAUUGCGAGAUACCUGUCUUCAAGGUCAACUUCAGAUUUCACAUCCUGGAGCCACUCUGGGUCCCCACUGGGAUGUGACUGCCCGCCAUAGCCUCCCCUGGUGGCCAGUGUGCCCUAAGAUUAAAGAGCACACUGCCUCUGAGCUCCCCUUGCUGCUCCCACGUGGACUCCCCCCCACGUCGAGGCAGUGUCGCUGGCUUCCGCUCGCCCGCAGAGCCUCGCUCAAUGCCCGCAGGUCCAAGGCUCGUGAUUAUUGGGGUGGUUCCGAGGGUGCCGGGCCGAGCCUGAAGAUGCCCUUUCGCCCAAUCCCUUUCUCCUCUGUGGAUCAGAGCCAAGCAGUCUGUUUGAUUAAGACGGUAGACCCUGCACGCUCAGCCCCGGGAGACAGCCACAGUGUGGAGCCUUGCUCCUUUUCUUCGCGUGCCUCAUCGCGAGACAAUUGCGUCCAGCCUAGGCCACAGGGGCCGCGUGGCACGAGUUACCCUGCCUUCCCCCACUACAAAUGAAGAGUGCAGACGCCAGGUGGCCAAGAGCGCUUCAGGCUGUGGUCCCACCUGGUCCCAGCUAUAAAGCAUAAUUUUGCCUUCUUUCUUAUUAUUUUCCAAUUUUCUUCAUCUCCCGUCGCUCUCCCCGGCUUCAGAGCCUACGCUAUGGGGUCGAGGCAUGAGUGAAUUUUGAAGAAUGAGACAGUGGUGAAGUUCCUAGCUGCUGCAAGCGUGCGUGGCUUUGGCAAGAAGUGACCCUGCAGGGUCCAGGGAAAGUACUGGACACGCUGUAAUCUUGUCUCAGUGUGUAGGACAGGGCUCUGGGCGGUGAGGAGCUCUGUGGGGAAGGGGAGAGGCACCAGCACCCCUUGAUGGCGCGAAGGCAGGCAGGGCAGCAGAAAGCCACUGGUGCAGGGGUUGGGGGACUGGAACACAGCCCACAGGCGAGUAUGUUAGAACAGCAAACGAGUUAGCGGUACACUGGACUGACCCUCCCCCCCACACACACCAGAGUGGAGUAGCUCUGGUUUAGCCUUGUUUGGGCUGCUGUAAAAGGGGAAACUGUCAAUCAGUUGUUGUCAAUUAAUUAACAUAUAUUUACUGAGUGUUUGGUGUGCUAGGCACUGCUGGAGAUGAUGGAUGCGGGGUAAAUAAAAAAUAAUGGGCCUUACUUUCUAGUAGGAGAAGAGACGUGAUAAGCAGGAUCUAUACAUAAAUGCAGAGCUCAUGGACCAGUCUCCUGGCUAAAAAUACAGCAGGAUCUAGAGGCAAAGUAUCAGAGCUGUAAGCAGAACAGUUAGGCCUUGUGUGGUGGAUUAACUACUGGGCCCCUUGGGACGCCCAGCUGAACUGAGUCAGCGUGGUUUGGGCGUGGAGGAUCCACCUGAGGCUUAUUGCCAACGGCACAUAAAGAGAACUGGAGGGAAGAGCGUGGGCUGUUGAGUUUCUAGGAGAAGCUUGUUGCGGAUGGUUUUCCCGAUUCAAACUCAGCUGUUCUCAUGGGAGGUGGAGCUGGGGCCUCGCUGUUGCUGGGAAUGGCUGCUGUUCUCCUCAGGAGAGCUCUGGUCUUCACCGUGAGCAUCACUUUCUGGCUGCAAUCCCUCAGCCUGGUGGCACAGAGCCUUCAGCCCUUGGCACAGGCUUUCCGGCUUCCACCACCGGCCUUUGGGCCUUCUGGGUGCAGAGCCUCAAUACGGACAAGCACGAGACAUCGCCUCGGACUCCAGGCCUUCAGCCGGACUUGUGUGGAACACUGCUGUGGGAUCCAGGUCCUCGGCUGGAUUCUUUAGGCCUCUAGUGUGUGACUAAUCUAUUGCACUCCUCUGUAUUGACUUUUUGGGUAAAUAUAGAAUAAUUCUAUAAGUUGUGACCCGUAUUAAAUGUAUUCUCUUGCCAAAACACUGACUGCAACACCUUGUUAAAGUGAUAUUUGAGCAAAGAUGUGGGAGAGAUGAGAAUUGAUCUGUACAGGCAUUGGGGCAAACAGCAUUCCAGACAGAGGAAGACCUAGUGCAAAUGUCCUGAGGUGAGCAAGGAUGGGUAUGUGGGAAGAACAGAGGAGGCUAGAGGGGCUGGAAUGGUGGGAGGCAGAGUGAGGUCACAGAAAGAGACUUCCAGCCUUGCAGCCCAUUGCGAAGUUUUAGGUUUUAAGUGAAACGGGGCCCUCGGGGAGUCUUGGCGCCAACACCAGUGGCGGUUGAGACAAGGCUGCACUGUUAGAGAGGGGCAAAGGCAGGAGCGGGAGACCCAGGCAAGAGACAGGGACAAGGGCUGGGAGCAGGGCGGUAGCAGCAACGCUGAGGGGACCAGAAUUUAGAGAAACGAGAGAGGUAAUGUCUCGAAGGAUCUCCGAUGUGUUAGAUCAAGGGGACGAAGAAAACAAGUCGAGGAUGAUUCCAAAGUCUUUGGACAACUAGAGAACUAGAGACAGUGCUUUGUUAGUGGAAGCUAUCGCGGUGGCACAGACUGUGGGAGCAGGGAGGACAGGGUUGAGCCCUGAUCUAUGAAGCAUGCGUGGUCUAGUAGACAUCCAGAGGGAGCGGGGACCAGGGGAGUCUGGGCGGGAUCUGUCAGGACACUGAGCACCGAGACAGCCAAGAAGUGAGACAAGAUCCGCAGGGAGCAGAUCUACAGGAGAGACGCUCAAGGGCUGAGGCCCCUAGAGGAAGCAGAGGAGACAGGAGGACCAGUCAGGAGGGCGGGUGGCCCCUAACUCAUGAUCGAAGGCGUCCAUCGAAAGGGGAAGGGAUGUGCAACUGGCUGGAAGGCGGCUGCAGGCCAAGGGGGAUGAGGAGCGAGAGCUGACCUUUAGAUCCCGCAGCGAGCUGAUCAGUGACACUGACAGGAGCAGCCUGAGCGAGGGCUAGGGUCAGGAAGUCUGGCUGCAGAAGGUUUGGGACCGAGAGAAGAGAGACUGGAGAAAUUGCUUAGAGACGCUUCCAUAUGCUCGAAAAUGGUUGUAGUUUUUAAAAAGCCAUAAAUUCAGGCUUUUUAUUAAUUACAUAGGUAUUGUGUCCACAGCAAUCUGAAUAAAUCAGAUUUUACUUGUGAAAUCCCCAUUUCAAGUGAGAAAAAGGUUUUGUGAAAUGGGUUUCAGCCAUUGUAAGUCUGGCACUGUUAACUGAAGAAAAACAAUGACUGCCUUCCAUGAAUCUGCAGCCCAAAGUAUUUUUAUAGUCCAGACUACUUCUGUCUUGGCACCUCACACACACAUAUAAGCACGCAUCCAACAACGACAUCACA
Molecule: non-coding RNA, 6060 nt
Organism: Heterocephalus glaber (naked mole-rat)
Lineage: Eukaryota; Metazoa; Chordata; Mammalia; Rodentia; Bathyergidae
Source: RefSeq, a predicted model, not a curated record